This 476-nucleotide ribosomal RNA is filed under the name uncultured soil bacterium. Its description in RNAcentral is "bacterial SSU rRNA". It matches the Rfam family "Bacterial small subunit ribosomal RNA", at positions 26 to 522 of the family's 1533-position model. The record is from RNAcentral.
AGGACGAACGCUGGCGGCGUGCUUAACACAUGCAAGUCGAGCGGUAAGGCCUUUCGGGGUACACGAGCGGCGAACGGGUGAGUAACACGUGGGUGAUCUGCCCUGCACCUCGGGAUAAGCCUGGGAAACUGGGUCUAAUACCGGAUAUGACCUCAGGUUGCAUGACUUGGGGUGGAAAGAUUUAUCGGUGCAGGAUGGGCCCGCGGCCUAUCAGCUUGUUGGUGGGGUAAUGGCCUACCAAGGCGACGACGGGUAGCCGACCUGAGAGGGUGACCGGCCACACUGGGACUGAGACACGGCCCAGACUCCUACGGGAGGCAGCAGUGGGAAUAUUGCACAAUGGGCGAAAGCCUGAUGCAGCGACGCCGCGUGAGGGAUGGACGGCCUUCGGGUUGUAAACCUCUUUCAGCAGGACGAAGCGCAAGUGACGGUACCUGCAGAAGAAGCACCGGCUAACUACGUGCCAGCAAGCCGAC